AGUGAACGCUGGCGGUAGGCCUAACACAUGCAAGUCGAAUGGCAGCACAGUAAGAGCUUGCUCUUACGGGUGGCGAGUGGCGGACGGGUGAGGAAUACAUCGGAAUCUACUUUUUCGUGGGGGAUAACGUAGGGAAACUUACGCUAAUACCGCAUACGACCUACGGGUGAAAGCAGGGGAUCUUCGGACCUUGCGCGAUUGAAUGAGCCGAUGUCGGAUUAGCCAGUUGGCGGGGUAAAGGCCCACCAAGGCGACGAUCCGUAGCUGGUCUGAGAGGAUGAUCAGCCACACUGGAACUGAGACACGGUCCAGACUCCUACAGGAGGCAGCAGUGGGGAAUAUUGGACAAUGGGCGCAAGCCUGAUCCAGCCAUACCGCGUGGGUGAAGAAGGCCUUCGGGUUGUAAAGCCCUUUUGUUGGGAAAGAAAAGCAGCAGGUUAAUACCCCGCUGUUCUGACGGUACCCAAAGAAUAAGCACCGGCUAACUUCGUG
This 492-nucleotide ribosomal RNA is filed under the name uncultured bacterium. Its description in RNAcentral is "partial 16S ribosomal RNA". It matches the Rfam family "Bacterial small subunit ribosomal RNA", at positions 29 to 507 of the family's 1533-position model. The record is from RNAcentral.